This 110-nucleotide ribosomal RNA is filed under the name uncultured bacterium. RNAcentral's name for it is "partial 16S ribosomal RNA". It matches the Rfam family "Bacterial small subunit ribosomal RNA", at positions 1373 to 1482 of the family's 1533-position model. The record is from RNAcentral.
CCCGGGUCUUGUACACACCGCCCGUCACACCACGAGAGUUUAUAACACCCGAAGUCGGUGGGGUAACCGCAAGGAGCCAGCCGCCGAAGGUGGGAUAGAUGAUUGGGGUG